UAUUGUAAUGACCUUGAGGGUGAUUUUCGUAAAUUUGUACAAAACACGCGUGAACAGUAACACGCGUGAACAGUAACUUUUUGGGCAGAAAAUGCCCCUUUCUUCCCAUUUCAAUAUUUUUUUUCAACAUUUGUUUGAGUUCUUGAACUCCUUGAGGUGAUUUGAGAAGAGAUUUUCGAGGCAAAGUGUUGGUGGAUUGUCAUUCCGGGCACUGAAUUCGAGAGUUGCUUGUCCGGUGGAGGUAUUCGAGUGCGGUUUCGGCAAUUGAGAUACUAGUCGGGGUACCCCACGUGGCAGUUAAUAUUCUAGCGGAUUGUGUAUUCUCAUAUUAGUGGUGAGGUCCCAGAAUUCGGAUCGUCACUAGUCUAUCUUUAUUUUUCAGUCUUUUGUAUCAUUCAGAGACUAAUGUUGUAUCUUCAGAUUCGAACCUUGUAUUAGAUGCUCUUUAUACUUAUGACACCAGGUUUUGGGAUAAUU
Solanum dulcamara is the source of this 477-nucleotide long non-coding RNA. RefSeq lists it as uncharacterized. The record is from RefSeq and is a predicted model, not a curated record. The transcript is spliced from 3 exons. Lineage: Eukaryota; Viridiplantae; Streptophyta; Magnoliopsida; Solanales; Solanaceae.